UGCCCUAAAACAAGCUUUGAACUUAAAAACCUGAAAAGCAUUUUAUUUGGAAUAAAAGAAUCCGCAGUGUCACACAUUUGUCAGCUAAUAUGUUCCUUCCUAUGCUUUGUUUUAAUUUUUUGGAGUGAUUGUUUAUGAACGAAGCCUUUGGUUUCUCGGAGGCUGGUUUGGUCUUUCUACCCAUUCUUCACAGAAAACGAUAAUCCUCCUGAUAGCAUAAUCAUCACCGUAGCAACCGAAGGCGAUGUCACCAACAGGAUUAUGACUUAAGAGCCCAGAUUUGCAUCUCACACCCGCUACUUACGCGCCAGGGGCCUCUGUGGAUGCCACUCCACAGCCUCGUGUGUUAAGAGGCACACAAGAGCUGCCUGAUUGGCUCCCAAGCUCAGAACCAGGAGCCAGGGAAAUCAUAGCGAAAUCAGAACCUGAUGUGGCCCCGUCAGCAUCACGCGCACACUCAGAGCAAAAUGACCUGCUCUUCAAUGUAAUUUGGUUUAGUUUAGUUCAGUUGUCCUGCCCACCAGCUCCUGACCCUCCCGCCACUGAGGGGUGGUAUUUGAAAGCACAGGCAAGUUAAUGAAGCAUCCAAUUCAUGCCAGCUUUUAUCUGUCAGAGAAACACCAGCGAGCAAGGUAGAGACACCAAGCCAAACCCUGAUGUCUCUAAGGUCAUCUGAGGCAGACACAUUGAACCUGACCUUGAGAGUAUCCUUGACCACUUGACCAAGAGGCCAGAGACUCUACAAGUGUGCUCAGGCCGGACAACUUCCUGUGCCUGGCAGGAAGACUCAAGAUGCCAGCUUCUCCCCUAAACCAUGUGAACUCAUCAACAUGCAGCCAUUUUAAACUAUAAAAACGGCAAUUUCAACUGAAACAGUGGACCAUUGCCUAUUUUACUGGAAAUUUCUCUCUUAGAGUAUGAUGGAAAGAGGAUUGGGUGUAAGAGACCUGGCUGCAAGGCUCACCUCCACUAAGUGACCAUAGAUAUUUUGGACACUAAUGUACCGUGAGUCACCUUAUUCCUUUGGCCCACAGCUUCUUCAUCUGGGAAAGGAAGACAUUGGAUUGUAAAGUAAGAAUAACCCACAUUUUUUAUCGUUUGCAAUAUGCUAGGCAAUGUGCUAGUUACUUAAUUAUCAAAGAGACAAUUAAGAUUGAAAAGUAGUUAUUAACUAACUCUUCACCAACCCAGCAGGUGGAGACUGUCAUUAUUCCCAUUUAUUAGAUUGGGUCAUUGAGCUCAGGAUGGUGCAUGUGCUGCAUCUGAAAGGCUGGGGUCUGGUGCUCACUUCUGGGCUGUUGAUGACUGGGUUCAGAUGCAUCAUUGUGCAUCCCUUUCUUAGCAGAGGAUUCCUUGCUGCUCUACUAUGGACAAUGUAUUGCUUUACAGUCUUUUCACUGGAGACCACUCACCUGCAGUGACAUUUGUAGAAAGCAGUCUCUAAGCUGCAAAGCCCUGCCUGUCACCAGACCCACGUAGAGGGAAUCUCACUUGCUUUAUGAUGUCCAGAGUGCUCCUCAUGUUGCCCUGUGGGUUUUAUUUUCCUGUUGUCCACUGGAUAUGGCCUACUGGCAUUUAGCAUGAAUUUCCAGCUCCUCCACAAGCUCUUCUUGUACUACUAAGGUUGAAAAAUUAAAAAAUACAUUUUCUAGAA
Macaca mulatta (Rhesus monkey) is the source of this 1654-nucleotide non-coding RNA. Lineage: Eukaryota; Metazoa; Chordata; Mammalia; Primates; Cercopithecidae. The record is from RefSeq and is a predicted model, not a curated record.